AAUGGGUCAGCGACUUAUAUUCUGUAGCAAGGUUAACCGAAUAGGGGAGCCGAAGGGAAACCGAGUCUUAACUGGGCGUUAAGUUGCAGGGUAUAGACCCGAAACCCGGUGAUCUAGCCAUGGGCAGGUUGAAGGUUGGGUAACACUAACUGGAGGACCGAACCGACUAAUGUUGAAAAAUUAGCGGAUGACUUGUGGCUGGGGGUGAAAGGCCAAUCAAACCGGGAGAUAGCUGGUUCUCCCCGAAAGCUAUUUAGGUAGCGCCUCGUGAAUUCAUCUCCGGGGGUAGAGCACUGUUUCGGCAAGGGGGUCAUCCCGACUUACCAACCCGAUGCAAACUGCGAAUACCGGAGAAUGUUAUCACGGGAGACACACGGC
This 378-nucleotide ribosomal RNA is filed under the name Escherichia coli. RNAcentral describes it as "partial 23S ribosomal RNA". It matches the Rfam family "Bacterial large subunit ribosomal RNA", at positions 614 to 992 of the family's 2925-position model. Lineage: Bacteria; Pseudomonadati; Pseudomonadota; Gammaproteobacteria; Enterobacterales; Enterobacteriaceae. The record is from RNAcentral.